GAGGCGAUAGCUCAGUGGUAGAGCACAGAAUUUGCAAGCCUGAGGCCCCAGGUUCAGUCCCUAGCAUCUUG
Molecule: transfer RNA, 71 nt
Filed under: Erinaceus europaeus (western European hedgehog)
Lineage: Eukaryota; Metazoa; Chordata; Mammalia; Eulipotyphla; Erinaceidae
Rfam family: tRNA
About the family: Transfer RNA (tRNA) molecules are approximately 80 nucleotides in length. Their secondary structure includes four short double-helical elements and three loops (D, anti-codon, and T loops).
Source: Rfam by way of RNAcentral